ACGGGAGUGCGGGCUGCCUCGGGCGCCCAACCUCCCACCCGUGACUACCUAACACUGUUGCUUCGGCGGGGAGCCCUCUCGGGGGCGAGCCGCCGGGGACUACUGAACUUCAUGCCUGAGAGUGAUGCAGUCUGAGUCUGAAUAUAAAAUCAGUCAAAACUUUCAACAAUGGAUCUCUUGGUUCCGGCAUCGAUGAAGAACGCAGCGAACUGCGAUAAGUAAUGUGAAUUGCAGAAUUCAGUGAAUCAUCGAGUCUUUGAACGCACAUUGCGCCCCCUGGCAUUCCGGGGGGCAUGCCUGUCCGAGCGUCAUUGCUGCCCAUCAAGCCCGGCUUGUGUGUUGGGUCGUCGUCCCCCCCGGGGGACGGGCCCGAAAGGCAGCGGCGGCACCGUGUCCGGUCCUCGAGCGUAUGGGGCUUUGUCACCCGCUCGAUUAGGGCCGGCCGGGCGCCAGCCGACGUCUCCAACCAUUUUCUUCAGGUUGACCUCGGAUCAGGUAGGGAUACCCGCUGAACUUAAGCAUAUCAAUAAGCGGAGGAAUCAU
RNAcentral lists this ribosomal RNA (543 nucleotides) under Aspergillus versicolor. Its description in RNAcentral is "eukaryotic LSU rRNA". The stretch from base 158 to 311 matches the Rfam family "5.8S ribosomal RNA". Lineage: Eukaryota; Fungi; Ascomycota; Eurotiomycetes; Eurotiales; Aspergillaceae. The record is from RNAcentral.